RNAcentral lists this ribosomal RNA (253 nucleotides) under uncultured bacterium. RNAcentral's name for it is "partial 16S ribosomal RNA". It matches the Rfam family "Bacterial small subunit ribosomal RNA", at positions 524 to 776 of the family's 1533-position model. The record is from RNAcentral.
UACGAAGGGGGCUAGCGUUGCUCGGAAUCACUGGGCGUAAAGGGUGCGUAGGCGGGUCUUUAAGUCAGGGGUGAAAUCCUGGAGCUCAACUCCAGAACUGCCUUUGAUACUGUCAAUCUCGAGUCCGGGAGAGGUGAGUGGAAUUCCUAGUGUAGAGGUGAAAUUCGUAGAUAUUAGGAAGAACACCAGUGGCGAAGGCGGCUCACUGGCCCGGUACUGACGCUCAUGUGCGAAAGCGUGGGGAGCAAACAGG